GGAUGCUGGUGAGAGAGCUGGCAGUGUUAAACACACAGAUUUGCAAGAUUGAGCAGCACAUUUUCAUCUCUCGUGCUGGCAUGAUGGUAUUGGAUGAACUGUCCUCUCAGCUUGAAGAGGUAGCCAUUCAUCUGCAGUACGUUGAUGAGGAGGUUCGGCAGCAGCCCUGUCUGGCUUUAAUCCCUUGGUCUGGACCUCUGUGGGUUUCAAACGCUCCUGUCAAACUGCAGCCAAUUUAUUAUCUUACCCACGCUGGGAGGAUGCUGGUGAGAGAGAUGGCAAUGUUAAACACACAGAUUUUCACAAUGGAGCAGCCCAUUAUCAUCAGUUUCACUCCUGCUAGGAGGAUCGUAUGGGAGGAACUGUCCUCUCAAAAUGAACAGUAUGUGGAUGAGGAGGUUGGGCACCGGUCCUGUCUGGCUUUAAUCCCUUGGUCUGGACCCUUGUGUGUUCCUAUCUUUCCUGUCUUCUCCAAGGCCAAACCAGUCUACUACCUCACUCGUGCUGGGAGAAUGCUGGUAACAGAGCUUGCAGUGUUAAACACACAGACUUCCAAAUUGGUUAUUGAGGAGCCUACCAUUCACCUCACUGAAGCUGGGAGGCUAGUGCUUGACGAACUGUCAGCACCUUCAGAUAGCCAUUCACAGCCAAAUAGGGAAGACUCUGGUUUUCCCUAUGAGAAGUUGCAGCUGGUUGGGAACUGGGGUUCGUUUCAUUUCCAUUACUGGAAGAUCCAUUAUAGACGAGUGCAGCAAAAUGAAGAGGACAUGCAUCACCUGUGCAUUGUGAGGGGAGUGGAGAAGCAGCUGUGGUGGAGCAGAGUCAUCCAGGAAAAAAUCCUGGACCCAUGGGGUCUCGUCCAGGUGGUCCUCACCAACAACAAGGUGACUGGUAUUAAGUUCCUUGGUAGAAGGAUCCAUGGACUCAUGUCCUGCCUCGUCAAGAGGAGGUCUGAGUUCACCUAUUAUGAGGAUGCCCAGCAGGUGGAUAUCUCCACCACAGUGGAGGGGUACCAGGAGAGGGGGGAUGAGAUGAUGGCAUAUCAGUUCUCCACCUCUGACAUCAUCACCACCCCUCAUGAGCCGUCCUCUGGCUCCUCUCACCAGUUCCCCCAGAAUUCUCCGCCUCCCCCCUUUCCCUUCCGAUUCCCCUCCCAGUCCCCCUCCACCUUACCACUCCACCCAGGACCAGGACCAGACCCCUGACAGCACUCCUCAGGAGUUUGAGGAGGAGUUUGUGGAGGAGCAAAAUAAUGCUGCAGAUGUGCCCCAGUUGCGGCGUUACUUUGAAAACCAAGGGACAACCAACUU
Molecule: RNA transcript, 1310 nt
Organism: Coregonus clupeaformis (lake whitefish)
Lineage: Eukaryota; Metazoa; Chordata; Actinopteri; Salmoniformes; Salmonidae
Exons: 15
Source: RefSeq, a predicted model, not a curated record